CCUACGGGAGGCAGCAGUGAGGAAUAUUGGUCAAUGGUCGGGAGACUGAACCAGCCAAGCCGCGUGAGGGAUGAAGGUACAGAGUAUCGUAAACCUCUUUUGUCAGGGAACAAAGGCGGGGACGCGUCCCCGGAUGAGUGUACCUGAAGAAAACGCAUCGACUAACUCCGUGCCAGCAGCCGCGGUAAUACGGAGGAUGCGAGCGUUAUCCGGAUUUAUGGGGUUAAAAGGGUGCGCAGGCGGUCUGUUAAGUCAGCGGUCAAAGCCCGGGGCUCAACCCCGGCCCGCCGUUGAAACUGGCAGUCUCGAGUUGGAGAGAAGGAUGCGGAAUGCGCGGUGUAGCGGUGAAAUGCAUAGAUAUCGCGCAGAACUCCGAUUGCGAAGGCAGCAUGCCGGCUCCACACUGACGCUGAGGCACGAAAGCGUGGGUAUCGAACAGGAUUAGAUACCCGGGUAGUC
RNAcentral lists this ribosomal RNA (459 nucleotides) under uncultured bacterium. RNAcentral's name for it is "partial 16S ribosomal RNA". It matches the Rfam family "Bacterial small subunit ribosomal RNA", at positions 338 to 795 of the family's 1533-position model. The record is from RNAcentral.